RNAcentral lists this ribosomal RNA (494 nucleotides) under uncultured bacterium. Its description in RNAcentral is "partial 16S ribosomal RNA". It matches the Rfam family "Bacterial small subunit ribosomal RNA", at positions 30 to 523 of the family's 1533-position model. The record is from RNAcentral.
AUUGAACGCUGGCGGAAUGCUUUACACAUGCAAGUCGAACGGUAGAGGGGCAACCCUUGAGAGUGGCGAACGGGUGAGUAAUGUAUCGGAACAUGCCCAGUCGUGGGGGAUAACGUAGCGAAAGUUACGCUAAUACCGCAUACGAUCUAUGGAUGAAAGCGGGGGAUCGCAAGACCUCGCGCGAUUGGAGUGGCCGAUAUCAGAUUUGGUAGUUGGUGGGGUAAAGGCCUACCAAGCCGACGAUCUGUAGCUGGUCUGAGAGGACGACCAGCCACACUGGGACUGAGACACGGCCCAGACUCCUACGGGAGGCAGCAGUGGGGAAUUUUGGACAAUGGGCGAAAGCCUGAUCCAGCCAUUCCGCGUGCAGGAAGAAGGCCUUCGGGUUGUAAGCUGCUUUUGUACGGAACGAAACGCGCUGUGCUAAUACCACGGCGUAAUGACGGUACCGUAAGAAUAAGCACCGGCUAACUACGUGCCAGCAGCCGCGGUAA